GACGAACGCUGGCGGCGUGCUUAACACAUGCAAGUCGAACGGAAAGGCCCUGCUUGCAGGGUGCUCGAGUGGCGAACGGGUGAGUAACACGUGGGUGAUCUGCCCCUUACUUCGGGAUAAGCCUGGGAAACUGGGUCUAAUACUGGAUAGGACCAUGCUGUAGGGGGUGUGGUGGAAAGAUUAGUUUCGGUAGGGUGUGUGCUCGCGGUGUCUCCGCGUGUUGGUGGGGUGGGGGUCUACCAACGCGUCGACGGGUCGCCGGUCUGAGAGGGGGUGCGGCGACAUAGGGACUGUGAGACGGCGCAGAGUCCUACGGGAGGCAGCAGAGGGGAAUAUAGCGCAAUGUGCGCAAGACUGAGGCGGCGACGCCGCGUGUGGGAUAACAGCCUUCGGGUUUUGAACUCCUUUCAGCCAAGACGAAACCCUUGUUGUGACGGUAGUGGGAGAAGAAGCACCGGCUAACUACGUG
This 469-nucleotide ribosomal RNA is filed under the name uncultured bacterium. RNAcentral describes it as "partial 16S ribosomal RNA". It matches the Rfam family "Bacterial small subunit ribosomal RNA", at positions 28 to 507 of the family's 1533-position model. The record is from RNAcentral.